This 71-nucleotide transfer RNA is filed under the name Methylobrevis albus. It matches the Rfam family "tRNA". Rfam says of the family: Transfer RNA (tRNA) molecules are approximately 80 nucleotides in length. Their secondary structure includes four short double-helical elements and three loops (D, anti-codon, and T loops). The record is from Rfam by way of RNAcentral. Lineage: Bacteria; Pseudomonadati; Pseudomonadota; Alphaproteobacteria; Hyphomicrobiales; Pleomorphomonadaceae.
GGCCACGUGGCGGAGUGGUUACGCAGCGGAUUGCAAAUCCGUGUACGGGGGUUCGAUUCCCUCCGUGGCCU